GAGGAAUAUUGGUCAAUGGUCGCAAGACUGAACCAGCCAUGCCGCGUGCAGGAAGACGGUCCUAUGGAUUGUAAACUGCUUUUAUACAGGAAGAAACCCUCCCACGUGUAGGAGCUUGACGGUACUGUAGGAAUAAGGAUCGGCUAACUCCGUGCCAGCAGCCGCGGUAAUACGGAGGAUCCAAGCGUUAUCCGGAAUCAUUGGGUUUAAAGGGUCCGUAGGCGGUCUUAUAAGUCAGUGGUGAAAGCCCAUCGCUCAACGAUGGAACUGCCAUUGAUACUGUAAGACUUGAAUGCUUAGGAAGUAACUAGAAUAUGUAGUGUAGCGGUGAAAUGCCUAGAUAUUACAUGGAAUACCAAUUGCGAAGGCAGGUUACUACUAAGUGAUUGACGCUGAUGGACGAAAGCGUGGGGAGCGAAC
This 420-nucleotide ribosomal RNA is filed under the name uncultured bacterium. Its description in RNAcentral is "bacterial SSU rRNA". It matches the Rfam family "Bacterial small subunit ribosomal RNA", at positions 356 to 773 of the family's 1533-position model. The record is from RNAcentral.